GAACAAAUUAUCUUAGAAAUAUAGUUAAUAGUCAAAGGGGUAGAAAAAUUAAAAGGUACCAAUAUUGCCUUUUAGAAAGGUGACUUCUACUUACUUUGUAGCACCAUAAGUAAGGCAAAUCAAAGUAGAUUGAAAAAAUAAAUGAUAUAGGCAUCUUAAGGAAGAAGUUAAGAGUAAAUUCUAUAAAAAAUUACUUAGAAAAAUUAGAUAUUGAUACCCGGAGAGGGCUAGUUAUGAACCAGGGUUGAAAUCAGAUCUUGGGGCUUAAAGUCGAGUCUCGAUGAUGACUCCGAGAUUCUUUUGGAGAUCAAAGAGUAAGGAUUGAUAGCACACUAAAUAAACUUUCUAUGAGCAUAGAUUUUGGGUGAUUUGGAAUUGAUAUGACUUCGUAAGAGCUUUGCAAAGUCAAGGUUUGUUUCAGAUGACUUAGAUUUUAUAAAAUAGGGUUUACGUUUUGGAUCAUUUCAAGAGUUUUGUAAUAGAUUUACAAGUGAAAUUUUGUGGGUUUAUUGUUAUAGUUGUGUUUAAUAUGUGUCAUGAAUUUGAGCUUGAUCUAAUAGUUGAAUUGAGGGAUAUUGAGGUUUAAAAGGGUCAAGAUCUCAGAAAGUAGAAUUUUAGGUCCAGUGGAGGUUUUUGUGAUUUCUGGCAAUCUAUUAGUUGGAUUGGAGUAAAACUUGUGUGAGAGGGUAUAAGACUUAUUUUUCUAUGUGUGUGAGAAUUUUGAGAUGAAUCGAAUGGUACGAAGAAGAGACAUUGGCUCUGGAAGAUUGGCAAUAAGAUUAGAGAAGGAGGCCGAUUAAUACCCAAGCACAUUUUUGAAAAUAUCGUCAAUUUGGUAAUUCCGAUCCUUAUCAAUUCUUUUUGAGCUUGUUUUUAACUUAUUUUUUAAAAAAGUGUAUAAAAUUUGAGUUAAGAUCAACGGUUUAUUCAUUAGUUAUUGAGGUUUAAAUCUGUUGUAGGAAUUAUUAGGAUUUGGUUAGGAUUUGGUUUGGGAUUUAGGGUUUGGAUUAGGAUUUAAUUAGGAUUUUAUUUAGGAUUUAGGAUUUGAUUAGGAUUUGGUUUAAGGUUUAGGAUUUGGAUUUAAUUAGGAUUUUAUUUAGGAUUUAGGAUUUAAUUAGGAUUUGGUUUAGGGUUUAGAAUUUGGAUUAGGAUUUGAUUUAGGAUUUGGUUAGGAUUUGAUUUAAGGUUUAAGAUUUGGAUUAAGAUUUUGUUUAAGAUUAAGGAUUUGGAUUUGGAUUUGGUUAGGGAUUGAUUUAGGAUUUAGGAUUUGGUUAGGAUUUGAUUUAGGAUUUAGGGUUUGGAUUAGGGUUUGGUUUAGGGUUUAGGAUUUGGAUUAGGAUUUAGUUAGGAUUUGAUUUAGGGUUUGGUUUAGGGUUUAGGAUUUGAUUAGGAUUUGAUUUAGGGUUUGAUUAGGAUUUGGUUUAGGAUUUGUUUAGGAUUUGAUUUAGGGUUUAGGAUUUUAUUAGGAUUUAAUAUUCAAUUAAUUUUGGCCUAAAGUUUGAAUGAAGUUCAAUAGGAUUUUAACUAGAAUUAAAUUAUGAUUGAACUGAGAUGUAUUUGAGUGAUAUUUGUGCUCUUUCUAAUGUUUCUUUAAGAAUUUUUAUUGUUUGAUUGAAAUUUCUUUGAGGUUUUUUUAAAUUUGAUUAAGCUUAAUUAGUAUUAUUAUAGUCUAAUUAUAGAAUUGUUAGUAUUCUAUUAGAAUUAGGAUUUUUUAUUAUAAUUUCUAUUCUUCCUUCGAUAGCUAGGUGCCCGAAGCAUUCUCAAGCAAGACUUCAUGUAUUACGACACCGUCUUUGCUACAUUUGCAAGAUUCUUUACUGGCUCCUAUGUAUAUUCACUAAUAUCAUAUUUAUGCCAAUAGACAAGAUAUUCCAAUUUAUUUUGGCACUACCUUGAAUCUAAGACUUCUUCCACUUCAAACUCUUCAUUAUUGUCAACUUCUAAAUGAGGAGAUGGACCUUGUCUUCUUCUUGGUAUGUCCGUUGUCUUAUAUGGUUCAAGAAGAGACACAUGGAAUACUAAAUGGAUUUUCAUUGACUUUGGUAGAUGUAAAUGAUAUGCAACACGAUUGAUUUGUGCAGAAAUAGAAAAUGGUCUAAGCCUUCGAUAGUCC
This 2113-nucleotide long non-coding RNA is filed under the name Physcomitrium patens. Its description in RNAcentral is "long non-coding RNA (PPAT_LNC007608)". Lineage: Eukaryota; Viridiplantae; Streptophyta; Bryopsida; Funariales; Funariaceae. The record is from RNAcentral.